ACGGCUCAGUAACACGUGGACAACCUGCCCUUAGGACGGGGAUAAACCCGGGAAACUGGGUAUAAUACCCGAUAGGUCUCGAUUGCUGGAAUGCAUCGAGAUUUAAAGCUCCGGCGCCUAAGGAUGGGUCUGCGGCCUAUCAGGUAGUAGUGGGUGUAGCGUACCUACUAGCCUACGACGGGUACGGGUUGUGAGAGCAAGAGCCCGGAGAUGGAUUCUGAGACACGAAUCCAGGCCCUACGGGGUGCAGCAGGCGCGAAAACUUUACAAUGCUGGCAACAGCGAUAAGGGAACCUCGAGUGCCAGGUUACAAAUCUGGCUGUCGAGAUGCCUAAAAAGCAUUUCAUGGCAAGGGCCGGGCAAGACCGGUGCCAGCCGCCGCGGUAACACCGGCGGCUCGAGUGGUAACCGUUAUUAUUGGGUCUAAAGGGUCUGUAGCCGGCCGGAUAAGUCUCUUGAGAAAUCUGGCAGCUUAACUGUCAGGCUUUCAGGAGAUACUGUCUGGCUCGAGGCCGGGAGAGGUGAGAGGUACUUCAGGGGUAGGGGUGAAAUCUUGUAAUCCUUGAAGGACCACCAGUGGCGAAGGCGUCUCACCAGAACGGACCUGACGGCAAGGGACGAAAGCUAGGGGCACGAACCGGAUUAGAUACCCGGGUAGUCCUAGCCGUAAACGAUACUCGCUAGGUGUCGGCCACGGUGCGACCGUUGUCGGUGCCGUAGGGAAGCCGUGAAGCGAGCCACCUGGGAAGUACGGCCGCAAGGCUGAAACUUAAAGGAAUUGGCGGGGGAGCAC
Molecule: ribosomal RNA, 793 nt
Filed under: Methanosaeta sp. enrichment culture clone LA_24
Lineage: Archaea; Methanobacteriati; Methanobacteriota; Methanomicrobia; Methanotrichales; Methanotrichaceae
Description: bacterial SSU rRNA
Rfam family: Archaeal small subunit ribosomal RNA
Source: RNAcentral